Molecule: ribosomal RNA, 218 nt
Filed under: uncultured Oceanibaculum sp.
Lineage: Bacteria; Pseudomonadati; Pseudomonadota; Alphaproteobacteria; Rhodospirillales; Oceanibaculaceae
Description: partial 16S ribosomal RNA
Rfam family: Bacterial small subunit ribosomal RNA
Source: RNAcentral
CCGGAGGAAGCGGGGAUGACGUCAAGUCCUCAUGGCCCUUAUGGGCUGGGCUACACACGUGCUACAAUGGCGGUGACAGAGGGCAGCGAGAGGGCGACCUUGAGCUAAUCCCUAAAAGCCGUCUCAGUUCGGAUUGUACUCUGCAACUCGAGUGCAUGAAGGUGGAAUCGCUAGUAAUCGCGGAUCAGCAUGCCGCGGUGAAUACGUUCCCGGGCCUU